AUGCAACUACGUAGGUUUAAAACCUUACAAUUGGUAGAAUUAUACCGAAAUAAUAAUAAUAAUAAUUAUUAUUAUUACUACAUUUUAGAAAACACAGAUGGACAACAAGCUGAGGAGAUCCCUCACCAGAAUGAGACACAACUACAAACAAAUGAGCAGACAGAACACAUUGUUUUGGAAAAGGAAAGACUUAAUGAAAAUGAAGAUGAACAUCAAUCCAUACAAAAUACAAAUGAAUUGGAUUUAACAUCAAAAAGCAUGGACAAUGAUUUCAUGUCAGUGUCCACAUAUUCUGAAAAUGAAGACAAAAGGGAAUAUGAAAAGGAACAUGAACAUAACCAAAAUAAUGAAGAGUGGAGGGCCACAACACCAGGUCCAAAAAAUUUCUGUAUAGAAAUACAAUUCGAAAACUGGAAAAAAAUAAAGCCACUGCCUGGUUCAAACCAACUCCAGAGACCAUGGACAGAUGUUAUUUAUAAAGAAUUUAGUCAGGUCAAUCCUUGUUGUGUUUUGUGCUUUAAGUACCAACACGUAAAAUGCCAAAACAGUCGGAAGCGAGCCCUGCCUUUUUUCAAAGCACGUGCCACUUGCACCUUUAAAGACUGUUCAGCAGUCUAUACUUUCACAAUAAAAACCCCCCCAACAAAAUCAAAAAAGAAAAUAACUGUCUUUGUUGCUCGCAACGGAAACAUAACACACAAAAAGAAUCACCAACAAUUCAGACAAGCCAAAUAUAUAAGAAGGGGGAAAAUUGCAAAGGCCCUCACACAAGGUGUGAGUACUUACUAUUAUGAAGCCGUAAGAAAAUCCACACCAGAAGAGAUUGUUGCAGGCAACAUCUCACAGUCCUUGAGUAAAGAUGUGUUAAGGGUAAUUUCUAGUGAACUGAAAAAAAGCACCAGGCUACAUGAUGACAUAAUCCUGGAGCUUAUGCUUACACAAAAAAUAAUAAAGGAAUGUGGUACAUCUGAUUGUCCUGAGACUGCUGGCUACUUACAACAUUUGCAGGUGGACCCAUUUGCUGUACAUUUGUACACACAAUGUGGUUUACAAAUUUUGGCCCAGCAUCUUAAAAAAAACAAAACAGUAACACUUCACCUGGAUGCCACAGGUAGCGUAAUCUCCCGCAUUACCAGUCAGCCCAAAAGAGUGCUCUACUAUGCACUUGUACUGCCGGGAAUGGGAAAAAACAUGCCACCACUACCAGUUAGUGAGCUCGUAUCAAAUCAGCACUCAAUUCCAACCUUGACAUACUGGCUAAUGGAAACAUUAAGGGCUCUUGGUCAAAUAACAUCAUGCCAUAUCCAUCAAGUGGAGACUGACUUCAGCUGGGGACUAAUUUCAAGUGUCCUUCUGGCAUUCAACAAAGAGAGCAUUUUGCUGUAUUUACAACGAGCCCACCGCAUUGUUUUGAACAAAGCAAACAGUGGUGAUCUUCAAUUCACAGUCUUACAUCUUUGCUCCUCACAUAUUGUUAAGGCAGUGUGUCAGGCAUUUUCAAAAAAGACUGACAACAAGGCUUUAAAAGAGUAUGCCACCUACUGCUUUGCCUUGUUGUUAAACAGCACACAUCUAGAAGAGGCAACAGCUGUAUUUGAAGAUAUGUCGGUUCUUUUCACAUCAGAAGAGGAGACAGAUGUGGUGAAUGCAGCCAAAACUGCCCUGGAUCUAAAAAUAAUGAAGAGCACAAUAAACAUCAAUGAGGCACAAACGAUACCAGAGGCCACAGAAACAGAUGAAAAUGUAACUUCAGUGUGUGGCAGAUCACCAUUUACAUCACUGUUCACUGCAGUUUUGAACAGAGCCAAGAGCCUCCACUUCAGUUGCAAGACAGGGAAAAAAAACACCUUUUUCUGUCCAGAGCUCAUCGACUUCCUCAUGAACAACUACAUGAGCAUCUUCCCGCUGUGGAGUGGAGUUCUUCUUGGAGAUCUUAGCCGGUUUUCUGAAACCAGCACAACUACAGUCAGCAAACAAUCCAAAACUAGGGAAAGUAACUGUCAUGUGGAACAGUGGUUUUGGAUUGUUAAACAGAGCAUCCUUAAAAAGAAGAAGUACCUGCGUCCUGCUGACUUCAUUCAGAACAUGUAUGGAUCUCUCCAAGGCAGAUACAAAGAACACAUAAUUAACAACAAUCUUUUACUGCCUUACCGUGAUCCAGAACCUAAAGAAAAGUUCUUCAGCCAGAAAGAAGAAUGGGCACAGAAAACAUCGAGAAAGGACAAGAACAGACAUAAAACAAAAUACUUUGACCCACCUGAAGUACUGCCACAGCCAUCACCAAAUCCAGAAGUUACACAGAUCAGCACCAAUACCAGCCAGACGAUUCCAGACACAGCAAUGGACCUGUCAAAAACAAAACACGAACCAGAACCAAAGUACAAUACUGAGCCAGAUAAUACAGAACAAACUGCUGAAGACACAACAGAAGAGGUAGUACUUCAUAUUAAUAUACAUUUAUAA
Cyprinus carpio (common carp) is the source of this 2463-nucleotide long non-coding RNA. NCBI's taxonomy places the organism in Eukaryota, Metazoa, Chordata, Actinopteri, Cypriniformes, Cyprinidae. The record is from Ensembl.